CAGCGCCACGAGUGGUAACCACGUUUAUUGGGCCUAAAGCGUCCGUAGCCGGUUUGAUAAAUCUUUUGUGAAAUUGUACAGCUUAACUGUACAGCGUGCAAGAGACACUGUCAAACUUGAGACCGGGAGGAGUCAGAAGUAUUCCAGAGGGAGCGGUAAAAUGUUAUAAUCUCUGGAGGACUACCUGUGGCGAAGGCGUCUGACCAGAACGGAUCUGACGGUGAGGGACGAAAGCUAGGGGAGCAAACCGGAUUAGAGACCCGUGUAGUCC
This 271-nucleotide ribosomal RNA is filed under the name uncultured archaeon. Its description in RNAcentral is "partial 16S ribosomal RNA". It matches the Rfam family "Archaeal small subunit ribosomal RNA", at positions 477 to 747 of the family's 1478-position model. The record is from RNAcentral.